GAUGAACGCUAGCGAUAGGCCUAACACAUGCAAGUCGAGGGGCAUCACAUGAAGUAGCAAUACGGAUGGUGGCGACCGGCGCACGGGUGAGUAACACGUAUGCAACCUGCCUUCAACAAGGGGAUAACCCGUUGAAAGACGGACUAAUACCCUAUAACACAGGGGUCCCGCAUGGGAAUAUUUGUUAAAGGACAACCGGUUGAAGAUGGGCAUGCGUUCCAUUAGCUAGUUGGCGGGGUAACGCCCACCAAGGCAACGAUGGAUAGGGGAACUGAGAGGUUUAUCCCCCACACUGGUACUGAGACACGGACCAGACUCCUACGGGAGGCAGCAGUGAGGAAUAUUGGUCAAUGGACGCAAGUCUGAACCAGCCACGUCGCGUGAAGGAAGACGGCCCUACGGGUUGUAAACUUCUUUUGUAAGGGAAUAAAGUGUAGUACGCGUACUAUUUUGCAUGUACCGUAUGAAUAAGGAUCGGCUAACUCCGUGCCAGCAGCCGCGG
RNAcentral lists this ribosomal RNA (502 nucleotides) under uncultured bacterium. RNAcentral's name for it is "bacterial SSU rRNA". It matches the Rfam family "Bacterial small subunit ribosomal RNA", at positions 28 to 520 of the family's 1533-position model. The record is from RNAcentral.